Molecule: ribosomal RNA, 459 nt
Filed under: uncultured bacterium
Lineage: Bacteria
Description: partial 16S ribosomal RNA
Rfam family: Bacterial small subunit ribosomal RNA
Source: RNAcentral
CCUACGGGCGGCUGCAGUGAGGAAUAUUGGUCAAUGGGCGCGAGCCUGAACCAGCCAAGUCGCGUGAGGGAAGACGGUCCUAUGGAUUGUAAACCGCUUUUGUCGGGGAGCAAAAGACGCCACGCGUGGCGUUCCGAGAGUACCCGAAGAAAAAGCAUCGGCUAACUCCGUGCCAGCAGCCGCGGUAAUACGGAGGAUGCGAGCGUUAUCCGGAUGUAUUGGGUUAAAAGGGUGCGCAGGCGGAAGAUCAAGUCAGCGGGAAAAUUAAGAGGCUCAACCUCUUCGAGCCGUUGAAACUGGUUUUCGUGAGUGAGCGGGAAGUAUGCGGAAUGCGUGGUGUAGCGGUGAAAUGCAUAGAUAUCACGCAGAACUCCGAUUGCGAAGGCAGCAUACCGGCGCUCAACUGACGCUCAUGCACGAAAGUGUGGGUAUCGAACAGGAUUAGAUACCCUUGUAGUC